RNAcentral lists this transfer RNA (77 nucleotides) under Alcanivorax borkumensis. Its description in RNAcentral is "tRNA-Pro". It matches the Rfam family "tRNA". Rfam says of the family: Transfer RNA (tRNA) molecules are approximately 80 nucleotides in length. Their secondary structure includes four short double-helical elements and three loops (D, anti-codon, and T loops). RNAcentral also lists the same sequence under 28 other names. Lineage: Bacteria; Pseudomonadati; Pseudomonadota; Gammaproteobacteria; Oceanospirillales; Alcanivoracaceae. The record is from RNAcentral.
CGGGGCGUAGCGCAGCCUGGUAGCGCACUUGCAUGGGGUGCAAGGGGUCGGAGGUUCGAAUCCUCCCGUCCCGACCA